GAGUUUGAUCUUGGCUCCAGGACGAACGCUGGCGGCGUUGCCUAACACAUGCCAAGUCGAACGGAGAACUCAAAAAGCUUGCGUUUGAGAGUUCUUAGUGGCGGACGGGUGAGUAACGCGUGGGCAACCUCCCCCUUAAACCGGGACAACCCUUGGAAACGAGGGCUAAUACCGGAUACGCUUUUCUGAGGACAUCCUCGGGAAAGGAAAGGCGGCCUCUGAAGAUGCUGCCGAUAAGGGAUGGACCCGCGUCUGAUUAGCUGGUUGGUGGGGUAAAGCCUACCAAGGCGACGAUCAGAGCCGGCCUGAGAGGGUG
Molecule: ribosomal RNA, 316 nt
Filed under: bacterium enrichment culture clone ALO1_GLFRUDD03HFCQB
Lineage: Bacteria
Description: bacterial SSU rRNA
Rfam family: Bacterial small subunit ribosomal RNA
Source: RNAcentral